This is a long non-coding RNA of Labrus mixtus (cuckoo wrasse), 732 nucleotides long. RefSeq lists it as uncharacterized. The transcript has 2 exons. NCBI's taxonomy places the organism in Eukaryota, Metazoa, Chordata, Actinopteri, Labriformes, Labridae. The record is from RefSeq and is a predicted model, not a curated record.
CCAGGAAGUGCUGGACUAGCCUCUUUUAGCUGCAUGGGACCACAUGGGAAACAUUACAAACAGAGGUGACUCCACACUCUUCUUAAAGGUGAGUCAGUGAGAGAGAGAGGCUGACUACUUCGCUCUUAACGGGUGGACGAUAUCAUACUAAAAUUAUUAUUGUAUGUUUUUAAAUUGUAUCUAUUGAGAAAGGGUCCCUUUGUAUAAGCCUGUUGGCGUCCACUCUCCUGACACACCUUUAAUAUUUGUAUAAUCUUGAUCUUGGUGUGUGCAAAUAAAAAAAGUGUUGUGACUUUGCACAGACAGAGGAGAAAGGGAGUUGGAAUAUAAGGAAUAGAUUUCAGGCUUCCUCAGAGAGCCUGAGAGCCUGAAACUCCUGGUCUCAGAUUGAAAAUUGGAGAACAAUCUUUUUGCUCUGCUUGUUCCCUCGCUGCUUGAAUGAGUGUUUUUCGCCAUCACAGACAGUGAAGAUAAAAAAGAUGAAUAAAAAGUUUGUCUCCAAAAGAAGUCUCGGCUCCUAACGACGCAUUUAAAAGAGCGAGGUUGACGUUGUGCCUGGAAAAAAAGGUUGAAUGUUUAUCUCAAAGCCACACAUGCACAUAAACUCUGCUCUUCUCAACUCUCUCUCCCAGGAGACAUUUUCUCUCAGGCAUGAAAAUACAGAUGUAAAACAAUGACUAUGAAGAUUCACUUUUCACAGUUGAAGACGUUCCAAUAAACCGUUGAUGCCUA